CCGUGCCAGCAGCCGCGGUAAUACGGAGGGUGCGAGCGUUAAUCGGAAUUACUGGGCGUAAAGCGCAUGCAGGCGGCCUGUUAAGUCAGAUGUGAAAGACCCGGGGCGUUAACCUCGGAAUUGCAUUUGAAACUAGGCAGGCUAGAGUCUUGUAGAGGGGGGUAGGAAGUUUCAGGUGUAGCGGUGAAAUAGCGUAGAGAUCUGAAGGAAUACCAGUGGCGAAGGCGGCCCCCUCGGACAAAGACUGACGCUCAGAUGCGAAAGCGUGGGGAGCAAACAGGAUUAGAUACCCUGGUAG
RNAcentral lists this ribosomal RNA (298 nucleotides) under uncultured bacterium. RNAcentral describes it as "partial 16S ribosomal RNA". It matches the Rfam family "Bacterial small subunit ribosomal RNA", at positions 503 to 793 of the family's 1533-position model. The record is from RNAcentral.